This is a long non-coding RNA of Lepisosteus oculatus (spotted gar), 959 nucleotides long. RefSeq lists it as uncharacterized. NCBI's taxonomy places the organism in Eukaryota, Metazoa, Chordata, Actinopteri, Semionotiformes, Lepisosteidae. The record is from RefSeq and is a predicted model, not a curated record.
UUUCAGUGGAGAUGCUGACACUGCUGCCCCAGAGUUGAGCCAAUACUGUAAAUGUACGUGAGCAUCAUAAACACUGCUUUGUGCUUGAAACAGCAUUGACAGUACACUGUAGAUGGCUACAUACCAGAAAACUGGUUUGAUGAGUCAUUGCUCCUCGACAUUCUCCACCUUCAUGACUCAGUCAUUUUGAAAUAAGACUUCAGAAGUAAAAAACUCACCAGUAGGUAAAUUCACUCAGCUCAUCCCUGCUACCUGCUGCUGCACUUGUACCAGCCCAGGAGAGACAAGAACGGCUCAUGCUUUCCUUUGAAAGGUACACUGACAGGCCAUCUGCGUCCCAUUCAGACUGCAGGCCCCACAGUGCCUACAGUUAGCAUUAAUUGGAGAAGUGACGCAGCUCUUACAGAUAACAAUGCAAGGUUGCAGGCAUUUGGAAACCUCCAGGGGUCACGACUGUUCAAAAAGUCGGAAUAACUUGGUCAUUUUUAGCGCUCCGUCCCUGACAACGCUGUACCAGUCGUGCACUGCUGAUGGGGGAAGAAUCAGUGGCACAGUGUAAGCUCCAGCUACUUAUGUCUGAACUAUGAGGUUCAUCUCUUCUACUUCCUGUGCAAACAGUUACAGUAGGUGUUCCCGAGAACUUAAAAGAAACAAAAAAAACAGUGACCCAUGGCUCCAGUUUAAAACAUGCCUUUUAAAGCAUGGUGCUAAAAAUGUGUGCAGACUUUCCUGCACAUAGUUAAAAUACAACACAAUAGAAACCAACCGCUUCAAAAAAUCUUUUCUUUGGGAAAAAAAAAAAACAUUUUAAAUGUGACAUUUUUCAAAGUAAACAGCAACUGAUUCAUUUGCCAGAUUUGUUUCUGAACUCUCUAAAAGUUAACUCGAGCCUUCACUAUAUUUUUGAAUGUACUGUAUAAUGUGUACUAAAUUUUUCUGAUUAAUGACAUGUAUUAAAA